Molecule: ribosomal RNA, 470 nt
Filed under: Meyerozyma guilliermondii
Lineage: Eukaryota; Fungi; Ascomycota; Pichiomycetes; Serinales; Debaryomycetaceae
Description: LSU rRNA
Rfam family: Eukaryotic large subunit ribosomal RNA
Source: RNAcentral
CAGGGAUUGCCUCAGUAACGGCGAGUGANGCGGCAAAAGCUCAAAUUUGAAACCCUCGGGAUUGUAAUUUGAAGAUUUGGCAUUGGAGAAAGCUAACCCAAGUUGCUUGGAAUAGUACGUCAUAGAGGGUGACAACCCCGUCUGGCUAACCGUUCUCCAUGUAUUGCCUUAUCAAAGAGUCGAGUUGUUUGGGAAUGCAGCUCAAAGUGGGUGGUAAACUCCAUCUAAAGCUAAAUACUGGUGAGAGACCGAUAGCGAACAAGUACUGUGAAGGAAAGGUGAAAAGAACUUUGAAAAGAGAGUGAAAUAGUAUGUGAAAUUGUUGAUAGGGAAGGAAAUGAGUGGAGAGUGGCCGAGGUUUCAGCCGCCCCUCGUGGGCGGUGUACUGCCGACGCCGAGUCAUCGAUAGCGAGACGAGGGUUACAAAUGGGAGCGCCUUCGGGCGUUCUCCCCUAACCCUCCACACUGCC